RNAcentral lists this ribosomal RNA (1251 nucleotides) under metagenome. RNAcentral describes it as "bacterial SSU rRNA". It matches the Rfam family "Archaeal small subunit ribosomal RNA", at positions 187 to 1445 of the family's 1478-position model. The record is from RNAcentral.
CAAAAGUAAUGCCUUAGGAUGGGAUGGCGGCUGAUUAGGUCGUUGGUGAGGUAAAGGCUCACCAAGCCGAAGAUCAGUAGGGGCCUUGAGAGAGGGAGCCCCGAGAAGGGCACUGAGAUACUGGCCCUAGCCCUACGGGGUGCAGCAGGCGCGAAACCUUUACAAUGCAGGAAACUGUGAUAAGGGAACCCAAAGUGCUAUCACUUUGUGCUAGCUUUUUUCAAAGGUAAAUACUUUGAAGAAUAAGUGGUGGGCAAGACUGGUGCCAGCAGCCGCGGUAACACCAGCGCCACGAGUGGCAAUCAUGUUUACUUGGCCUAAAGCGUCCGUAGCCGGUUUGAUAACUCUUUUGUGAAAUUGUUGUACUCAAUAUAACACCGUGCAGAAGAAACUGUCAAACUUGGGACCGGGAGGAGUCAGAGGUAUUCAUUGGGGAGCGGUAAAAUGCUAUAAUCCUUUGAAGACCACCUGUGGCGAAGGCGUCUGACUAGAACGGAUCCGACGGUGAGGGACGAAAGCCAGGGGAGCGAACCGGAUUAGAUACCCGAGUAGUCCUGGCCGUAAACUCUGCGAGCUAGAUGUUGCAUUUUCUCCGUGAAAGUGCAGUAUCGUAGCGAAGGCGUUAAGCUCGCCGCCUGGGAAGUAUGGUCGAAGACUGAAACUUAAAGGAAUUGGCGGGGGAGCACCACAAGGGGUGCGGCGUGCGGUUUAAUCUAACUCAACACAGAGAAUCUCACCAGCAGCGACGGCAGAAUGAAGGUCAAGUUGAAGGCUUUACCUAACAAGCCGAGAGGUGGUGCAUGGCCGCCGUCAGCUCGUGCCGUAAGGUGUCCAGCUAAGUCUGGUAACGAGCGAGAUCUGUGCCCGCAAUUGCUAACAAAUUCUUCGGAAUGAUUGAGCACAUUGCGGGGACUGCCUUCGAAAGAAGGAGGAAGGUGCAGGCCACGGUAGGUCUGUAUGCCCCGAAUCUGCUGGGCUACACGCGCGCAACAAUGGUUAAGACAAUGGGCCACGACUCCGAAAGGAGAAGUUAAUCCUCGAAACUUAAUCUCAGUUCAGAUUGAGGAUUGUAACUCAUCCUCAUGACGCUGGAAUCCCUAGUAAUCAGAAGUUAUCAUCUUCUGGUGAAUAUGUCCCUGCUCCUUGCACACACCGCCCGUCAAGCCAUCCGAGCAGGGUUUAGGUGAGAGUUGGUUUUUUUGAUCAUCUCGAACCUAAGCUCAGUGAGGCGGGUUAAGUCGUCACAAGGUA